AAGGAGCACGUUAACGAGUGUCUGGUCUGUGGAGUUUGUGAGUUGGGCUCUACAGUGGCCUAGCUGGGGCCGCCAGACGGGUCGCAGGUUGCGGAUAGCGAAAGGCCACAUACCAGAGGUUAACUGCGAAUAAGUGCAACUCCCCACAAAUAAGCAGUCCCGGACAGUCAGCGGAUGCGUGGCGGCUAACCAUCGCAUCGACAAGGCGCUUGUGCUGCCGCCUUCUUAAAAGCAUAGCUGCACACAUACUUACACGCACUCACACCUGGGCUGGACUAAGGUGUCAGUCGACCCGUGCCGAGAGUCAACCCGGCUGGGGGCCCAGGUUCAACAAAACUAGCCCAGUUUCGAACGGAGAGCUCAGGCAAGUGGCGAUCACCUGUUCUACGCAGCCUUGCUCGGGUAUUGCGGAUCUCUGCCCGGGUGGACCUGUCUCUCUCUCCGCAACUCGUGGGAACAAAAUACAAUGAAUUCAAAUCUACGAAAUCCAAAACGGGAGUUCGGUCCUCCAAAUCAAAGACCAAGGAAUACAACUAGCUUCGCUAGAGGUGGAAGAGGCGGUGGCAUAACCAAGGGCAGCCGCGCAAAAAAUGUUAAGCAAAUACAGCCACAGUCCGGCACAUUCGACGAAACCCCAAUUGUAAGCCGAAGACCUGCACAUUUUUUCAGACCGGAUCCAUCAAAAGCUACCAAAGCUGAUGAAGCCAAAGCCAGUCGGAUAUUAAAGCGCAAUGCUUACGCACCGAUUACUGAAGAUCAGGCCUCGUCGAGGUGGGACUAUCUUAAUGUUCAAGAGGAUAUCGCUUGGGCAAGGGCUGUGUUGCCAAAUUUUGAAGCUGGCUUUGUAAGUCCUCAUCAGCCUGUCGAUGCUGAGCCUAUACUGGAGACAUUGAUUGUUGAGGUUAAAAAUAAGGCAACAACACAAGAGCAUGGAGAGCUCGGAAGAAUUGAUGUAGAGUCUGCAGAUCAUGUAAGCCCCUAUCAGUCUGAUGAGGCUUCCUCGGUAAAUCGUGCCAAAUCUAGUGAGAGUCCCUUAAGAUCUUUUGCCACAAUGGCAAGAGGACGACAGAUAAUUGGUGUCAUUGAUAGCAGCCAGCCGGAUGGCAAAAUUCCCCGAAAUCAAUGGUGCUGGAUACAGGCCGCUAUGGCAGCCGUUGCCCUAGAGGUAUUGCGAGAUAACCCAGGACCGCCGCCCUCAUGCAUGGACAUUGGCUGGUUUCAAGGGACUACCAAGCUGAUAGCCUGCGACAAUGAGCGAUCUGUCCUGCUUUACAGAGCUGCAAUUACCAAGAUUGGUGAAGUAUAUCCAGGAGCUCAGCUGGAAGUGAUAGAUGUGCAGGACAUACCAUCGCGCCCUUGGGCCACAGCUUGGGUGCCGGAAACGCCAUCCGAGUCCAAUGACAUUCUCGAGUUGCUAACAAGAUGCAACCCGAAUUUGCCGAUAAACGACUGGAAGGUUAUCAAAGCGAUCAGGUUCAGGGAGGCUGCCAUGGAGGUGAUAUUUCAGAUCAAUCAAGAGGCAAUCCUGUACCUAUCGAGGUGUGAUGGUCUAUUAAGCUAUGGCUUCAAUAAGAUCAACAUGAAGUACUACGCAACGCCAUAUGAAGCACUCUCAGACCUAGAAGCAUUUGCAGCGGCUGUCGAUCCACCCACUGAUGAUGAUGAAAAGGAAGUCACCGCCGGCGCUUUAAGCGAGGAAUCAUCCUCGGAGUCCGACUGCGAAGGCAGUCGCCACAGCCUUUAAUAGCUGACUUGAGUUGUUUUUUGUGUGUUUGUUGUUUUAGUAACCGUCUACAGAUCGUACUGAAUGCAAAAUUGUUGAGGCGUUCGCGUUUUAUAGCAAAGCAUUGACGCUUCGAUUUACAUGAGAGUUGCUAGCGAGCUUAGAACCGGGCAACGUAGAACCCCAAAACACGUUGACAAUGCCCGGGCCAGAGCAAGUGCGGUUGCGGGAGCUGAAGGCAGCAAUACGCUGGGGGUUAAUAGUGAGAACGACAUGUUAAGCGACUGCGGGUUAAUCAUAAUAAUAAUCUUAAUGAUCGCAUUCACACAAAUAUGUUUCUCUGUGUGCGCGUGUGUGGCGAUACCCGGCCCACAGAAAAAGCUACAAUCAGGCUUUCCAGUUAAGCUAUAGCUCGAGCUGCCCCUCUUGGCACUUAAUUUAGAAAAUUUUUAAAUGGGGGCCCUCGAGUCGUGUUGACAAUCCGUCGAGCUUUGUUUUAGAAAUUGCAUCGCCUGUCAUCGGAAUAUUAUAUAAUUUGACUCCGGCUCGGCAGGCAAGACUAUGACUACGGGUACGGUUACGGCUGACAUGGUUCACUGCGACUACUGAUGGGCGUCCUAUGGCGUCGGUUAUGGCUAA
Molecule: unclassified non-coding RNA, 2362 nt
Organism: Drosophila navojoa
Lineage: Eukaryota; Metazoa; Arthropoda; Insecta; Diptera; Drosophilidae
Source: RefSeq, a predicted model, not a curated record